AGACGCGCCAGCUGACCCGGGGCUGCCUUUGGGGAAAGCGCCUUUUUGCGCAAGCGUGGCCGAGGCAGGGGCGGACCGCCUUCCUCCCCGCAGCCCCGUCCCCACCACGCUCCUCGCCGCCGCCGCCGCCGGCCCCGGAGAACUUCGGCGAGCGAGCGGUGCUCCGCUUCCUCCUCGCCUCGGCGGCCUGGGAAGGGAAGGGAAGGGGCGGGCGGAGAGGAGCGAGCUCCUCGCCUUCGCAGUCUGGCGCAGCCCCCCGAGUUGGGAUUCCGGAGCUUCUCGACAGACGGCCAGGCGGCGGCGGGCAGCCCCUUCCCGAGAGAGACCCCGAUGGUGGGCUGAGCGCGGUUCUUUGGUGGUCUUCAUGAGAAGAUGUUGGAUGUACUGACGGAUCAAUCCAGCUGCUUGCCAAAAAUGAUCCAACUAUGAGGCAAGAUGGAGAACCAGAAGCACAGAGUGUCUAACCUUAUUCAAAGCAUCCCACCAGCCCAUCUGGAAGCAGAAACCAGAAGUCCUGCAGCUGUUAGACAUCAUCGUGUUGCAUAGCCUGCAAGGAGAGGGGUAAGUUGAGUGUGUGUACAUAGCGUUUGGCAUGGAAACAUGCUUCUUGGUUAUGACAACUGGAUGGUGCCAUCUGGUCUGUUUUGCUGUGUGUAUUCUGGCUGCAUCUGGACUGUGUCUUUUAGAGAGUUGGCAGGAAAACAGAAUGGAAUGAAAGAGAGAAAUGUUUUUUUAUGAUUCCUCUGGGUGAAGGUAGGAAUGGAUGGGUUCUGGGAAUGGGGUGCUGUCGGCUUCCAUGGUAGCUGGAGAAGUCACUCUCUAUGGGUUGCCCAAUGCUGAUGUUUAGUAACUCAUCUUGUUUACCUGCAUUGUGGACAUCCGUAUUCCUCACUGGGUAUACUUAUUGCAUUUUUUUAUUAAUGGGUCAUCUGACUCCAGGCAUAAUCACACUCAGGGUGAUGCUCAUGCUCUCUCUCUCUGCUUUGCUCCUUCCUCUGUCUAGCAUCACCUUGAACUGACUGUCUGUCUAUUAGAUCUAUCUGCAUGCAAGAAAAAGGCAGCAAUUUCUUUAGUUAUCCUGGUGGCAAGAGAACUGGCCAAUAAAGAUGAGUUUUUAACCUGCCAACAGAAAGGGAAUAUAGUUCCUGUAAUAUUUUUAAUUGAAAUUUUCAAGUAUAUACAUUUUAAAAAAGGAAAAAUUGAGAGGAAAAUUAUAAAAACAAAAA
This is a long non-coding RNA of Heteronotia binoei (common prickly gecko), 1226 nucleotides long. RefSeq lists it as uncharacterized. NCBI's taxonomy places the organism in Eukaryota, Metazoa, Chordata, Lepidosauria, Squamata, Gekkonidae. The transcript has 3 exons. The record is from RefSeq and is a predicted model, not a curated record.